Molecule: ribosomal RNA, 249 nt
Filed under: uncultured prokaryote
Description: partial 16S ribosomal RNA
Rfam family: Bacterial small subunit ribosomal RNA
Source: RNAcentral
UACGGAGGAUGCAAGCGUUAUCCGGAUUUAUUGGGUUUAAAGGGUGCGCAGGUUGUUUGAUAAGUCAGUGGUGAAAGUCUGUCGCUUAACGGUAGGAUUGCCAUUGAUACUGUUGGACUUGAAUAUGGAUGAGGUAGGCGGAAUGUGCAGUGUAGCGGUGAAAUGCAUAGAUAUUACACAGAACACCGAUUGCGAAGGCAGCUUACUAAUCCAUCAUUGACGCUGAGGCACGAAAGCGUGGGGAUCAAA